GACGAACGCUGGCGGCGUGCUUAACACAUGCAAGUCGAACGAUGAAGCCGGAGCUUGCUCUGGUGAAUUAGUGGCGAACGGGUGAGUAACACGUGAGUAACCUGCCCUUGACUCUGGGAUAACUGCGGGCAACUGUAGCUAAUACCGGAUACGACCCUCGGAGGCAUCUCCGGGGGGUGGAAAGAAUUUCGGUCAAGGAUGGACUCGCGGCCUAUCAGCUAGUUGGUGAGGUAAAGGCUCACCAAGGCGACGACGGGUAGCCGGCCUGAGAGGGUGACCGGCCACACUGGGACUGAGACACGGCCCAGACUCCUACGGGAGGCAGCAGUGGGGAAUAUUGCACAAUGGGCGCAAGCCUGAUGCAGCAACGCCGCGUGAGGGAUGACGGCCUUCGGGUUGUAAACCUCUUUUAGCAGGGAAGAAGCGAAAGUGACGGUACCUGCAGAAAAAGCACCGGCUAACUACGUGCCAGCCGCCGCAGUAA
Molecule: ribosomal RNA, 484 nt
Filed under: uncultured bacterium
Lineage: Bacteria
Description: partial 16S ribosomal RNA
Rfam family: Bacterial small subunit ribosomal RNA
Source: RNAcentral